Actinia tenebrosa (Australian red waratah sea anemone) is the source of this 1133-nucleotide unclassified non-coding RNA. The record is from RefSeq and is a predicted model, not a curated record. Lineage: Eukaryota; Metazoa; Cnidaria; Anthozoa; Actiniaria; Actiniidae.
GCAUCAGCUUAAAAUCAUUUUAGUAAAGAAAGAAACAAUACUCAGGCGAAUGACACACGGUCUGAAAUGAGAAAACGCUGCGCCCAACGUAAAGAGGUUCAUUGGAAUUGGUUUGAACCAGAGGAGUCUAACUACAGAGUUUCACACAGGAAGCCCAAGCAGGUCACGUGACAAUCAACAUUACCUGACGUUCACAACAUUUACAUUUGGCUACACAUGACAGAAUGGAACCAAUCAAUGCAAGUAGAAAGUUGUAAAGGCAUGUUUUAUACUGACCCGUCCAAAUAGGAGACCAGGAAAAGACGCCAACCACCAGAAACUCGGCACUUGAUAGACAUGUCAAGAUGCAGAACACCAUGAACGACAUGACCUGGACAAGAGAAAUAUCUUAUUUUAGCAAAUUUCAUUGGCUGACGAGGAAAUAGUGAGAAGAACACCAUGACCUGGACAUGACCUGGACAUGACCUAGACAUGAUUUGGACAAUGAAAAUAUUAUAGUAAAAUUCAUUGGCUGACGAGGAAAUGGUGAGGGAAAAACUCCAGAAGAACAUGAUCUGGACAUGACCUGGACAAGAGCCACGGAAAUCACAUCACUUAAAAGCAAUGCCACAGAGAUCACUCGAAGAGUCAAAUGUUCCUAUGGUAACCAAUCGUCAAGGUAACUAACUACCCACGUACUGGUCCUCGAAGAUAAAGACUGAAUGCGUUCAAGACUCAUUCACUUGAAAAUACAGUCGUUUUACCUUGGGAAAAUAGGCUUAAAAUCACUUAAUUUUCAAAGCCAUCCGCUACAACUAGCAGCCACGAUAAGAUUUACCGCUCCGUUAAUUUAAGUAACGCAUUUAAACAACUUCACCAUGUUGCACUGGAUUUCCUUAUUUCUGGCGCUGAUGAUAUUGAACCAUCCUAUAACUGAGGGACGUCCCGCAAGGACGUCAUUGAAACGGACCAUCAGACAGAAUACAAUCUUGGCUUUUAAAAAAGAAUCGGCCCUACUUCAUCUUUUAGAUAGGCCAUUCCUUCCCUUCAAAAAAGACUCGACACCAGACCCUACAGAUGACACAUUCCUUCCCUUCAAGAGAGACUCGACACCAGAACCUACACCUGACCCAUUCCUUCCUUUCAAGAGAGAC